AUGGCGCCAUUUGAGGAAGAACUCGACACGCGCCGCCCAGCGCACACCUCGCCCACCUUGCCGCCGGCGCUCUCGCAUGAAGCCCACCUUGUCACAGCACCAGCGCACGUCGCACACCCCGCCGCUGCACCCGUGCAAGUCGCCGCCGGUGGUCGUUGGCCGGUCCGCUCGGUCCGGCCCGGGCUUGGCCGCUGCCGGUCCGGUCCCAGAAAUCAGGACCGUUGUGAUGCUCGGUCCGGUCCGGUCCGGACCGCCGGCGGCCGGUCCAAACGACGGCUCGGACCGGGACCGGACCGGCCCGGACCGUGUCCACCCCCCAACCUGCCGACGGCACUCGUCGAGGACAUCGCCGGCCGGCUGCUCAGCCACGACGUGGCCGAGUACAUCCGCCUCCGCGCCGCGUGCAAGGAGUGGAGGAGAUGCACUGCGGACCCGCGCGAGGGAUGCAACCACCUGGACCCCCGCUUCCGCCUGCGCCGCUGGAUCAUGCUGUCCAACCGCACCGACGGCGACGGCCGCCGCUUCCUCAACCUCUCCACCGGCGCCAGCGCCCGCGUCGACCUCCCGGAGCUCUCCCGACACCACCUCGAGGCCAGCACCGAGGGCCUCCUGCUCCUGCGCGACAAGGCGAGCCACGCCGUGCGCCUCCUCAACCCGCUCACCAGGGCCCUCACCGACCUCCCGCCCGUCACCGCGGACCUUGGCGGCGCGUACGCCGGGCGCUUCUACUUUGCAACUCUAGAGGGGUACAUGAUACAGGUAAGGCUCUGCCCAGAGCCUCGUCUGGUGCCCGUGGUCGUCGACCAGCCCAACACCCAGUACAACAUGUUCUGCUACCUCGUCCCUCCCGACGACGACCACCAUUGCGGUGGCGGCAUGCUCAUGGUGCGCCACUACCUCAACCUCGAUCACCUCAGCGCCGACGAGCGAAGAAUCAUGAAACGCAGGAGGAAGGUCAUGGACGUGAUCAGGAUGGAGCACCAUGUGAAGGCGCAACGGUGGAACCUGAUCCAGGUGUUUGAGGUGGAUGUGGCCGGGAGGAGACUUGUUCCGGUGGAGGACAUUGGCCGGCACCGCGCCGUGUUUGUCGGGGACGUGGCGUGCUUCUCCCUCUCGACCAGGAGGUUUCCAUGCGUGGCAGGGAACGCCGUGUACAUGGGGGCGCGCGGUGCCCGCUGCCCUCCUGUCGGCGUGCGGUAUCUGGCGGACAAGACUGCUGAUCCAUCGUUUGUGUUCACCACCGACGCGCCAGGAUUUUUAGACUGUAUAUCAGUGAAACAGUACCGCCAGAAGGCACCGGAGCUGAAUCUGGUGCCUCUUGCUCGCCCUUGUACGCUCCAAGAGUACCUCGUCUGUUGCGCAGGCCUACUCGGCGGCCUCAAAGACUAA
This 1389-nucleotide ribosomal RNA is filed under the name Triticum aestivum (bread wheat). RNAcentral's name for it is "partial small subunit ribosomal RNA". The record is from RNAcentral. Lineage: Eukaryota; Viridiplantae; Streptophyta; Magnoliopsida; Poales; Poaceae.